Molecule: small nucleolar RNA, 146 nt
Filed under: Myotis davidii
Lineage: Eukaryota; Metazoa; Chordata; Mammalia; Chiroptera; Vespertilionidae
Description: Small nucleolar RNA SNORA23
Rfam family: Small nucleolar RNA SNORA23
About the family: The members of this family belong to the H/ACA class of snoRNAs which are thought to guide the sites of modification of uridines to pseudouridines. This family includes human snoRNA ACA23 (SNORA23) and mouse snoMBI-1. ACA23 is predicted to guide the pseudouridylation of residue U3737 and U4331 of 28S rRNA.
Source: Rfam by way of RNAcentral
UUUGUUCUGUCUACAUAAAAGGUGAGUGAUUGCUAUCCACACAAACAUCAUGCAGCCAAAGAGUAAGUUGGGAUCAUAGUACUGGUCUAGUGUUGUCUCAUUGGACAUAAUUUACCACUGGCCAGCCUCCAAAUUCCCAUACAGAA